GGACCUGACUGCUAUCGGAUUGGUACCAAGCCAUGCGAGUCAUUGUAGCAAUACAAGGCGGACGGCUCAGUAACACGUAGUCAACCUAACUCGUGGACGUGGAUAACCUCGGGAAACUGAGAAUAAACCACGAUAGAUCAUAAUGCCUGGAAUGGCUUAUGGUCCAAACAGUUUACUGCCAUGGGAUGGGACUGCGGCCUAUCAGCUUGUUGGUGAGGUAAUGGCCCACCAAGGCGAUUACAGGUACGGGCUCUGAGAGGAGAAGCCCGGAGAUGGGUACUGAGACACGGACCCAGGCCCUAUGGGGCGCAGAGGGCGAGAAACCUUAGCAAUGUGCGAAAGCACGACUGGGUCAGUCCGAGUGAUUCCUGAUAAAGGAGUCUUUUACCUGUCCUAAAAGCACAGGUGAAUAAGGGGUGGGCAAGUCUGGUGUCAGCCGCCGCGGUAAUACCAGCACCUCGAGUGGUCAGGACGUUUAUUGGGCCUAAAGCAUCCGUAGCCGGCUCUGCAAGUCUUCGGUUAAAUCCACCUGCUCAACAGAUGGGCUGCUGGAGAUACUACAGAGCUAGGGAGUGGGAGAGGCAGACGGUAUUCAGUGGGUAGGGGUAAAAUCCUCUGAUCCCUUGAGGRCCACCAGUGGCGAAGGCGGUCUKCCAAGAACACGUUCGACGGUGAGGGAUGAAGCUKGGGGAGCAAACCGGAUUAGAUACCCSGGUAGUCCCAGCUGUAAACGAUGCAAACUCGGUGRUGSAUUKGCUUAUKGGC
This 765-nucleotide ribosomal RNA is filed under the name uncultured crenarchaeote. RNAcentral describes it as "bacterial SSU rRNA". It matches the Rfam family "Archaeal small subunit ribosomal RNA", at positions 19 to 790 of the family's 1478-position model. The record is from RNAcentral. Lineage: Archaea; Thermoproteati; Thermoproteota.